GCGAACGCUGGCGGCAGGCUUAACACAUGCAAGUCGAGCGGGCGUAGCAAUACGUCAGCGGCAGACGGGUGAGUAACGCGUGGGAACAUACCUUUUGGUUCGGAACAACACAGGGAAACUUGUGUUAAUACCGGAUAAGCCCUUACGGGGAAAGAUUUAUCGCCGAAAGAUUGGCCCGCGUCUGAUUAGCUUGUUGGUGAGGUAACGGCUCACCAAGGCGACGAUCAGUAGCUGGUCUGAGAGGAUGAUCAGCCACAUUGGGACUGAGACACGGCCCAAACUCCUACGGGAGGCAGCAGUGGGGAAUAUUGGACAAUGGGCGCAAGCCUGAUCCAGCCAUGCCGCGUGAGUGAUGAAGGCCCUAGGUUGUAAAGCUCUUUUGUGCGGGAAGAUAAUGACGGUACCGCAAGAAUAAGCCCCGGCUAACUUCGUGCCAGCAGCCGCUGUAAC
RNAcentral lists this ribosomal RNA (450 nucleotides) under uncultured bacterium. RNAcentral's name for it is "bacterial SSU rRNA". It matches the Rfam family "Bacterial small subunit ribosomal RNA", at positions 29 to 524 of the family's 1533-position model. The record is from RNAcentral.